RNAcentral lists this ribosomal RNA (652 nucleotides) under Promicromonospora sp. RNAcentral describes it as "bacterial SSU rRNA". It matches the Rfam family "Bacterial small subunit ribosomal RNA", at positions 84 to 751 of the family's 1533-position model. Lineage: Bacteria; Bacillati; Actinomycetota; Actinomycetes; Micrococcales; Promicromonosporaceae. The record is from RNAcentral.
UGGGUGGAUCAGUGGCGAACGGGUGAGUAACACGUGAGCAACCUGCCCCCUACUUCGGGAUAAGCCUUGGAAACGAGGUCUAAUACCGGAUAUGAGCACCUACCGCAUGGUGGGUGUUGGAAAGUUUUUCGGUGGGGGAUGGGCUCGCGGCCUAUCAGCUUGUUGGUGGGGUAAUGGCCUACCAAGGCGUCGACGGGUAGCCGGCCUGAGAGGGCGACCGGCCACACUGGGACUGAGACACGGCCCAGACUCCUACGGGAGGCAGCAGUGGGGAAUAUUGCACAAUGGGCGAAAGCCUGAUGCAGCGACGCCACGUGAGGGAUGACGGCCUUCGGGUUGUAAACCUCUUUCAGCAGGGAAGAAGCGAAAGUGACGGUACCUGCAGAAGAAGCGCCGGCUAACUACGUGCCAGCAGCCGCGGUAAUACGUAGGGCGCAAGCGUUGUCCGGAAUUAUUGGGCGUAAAGAGCUCGUAGGCGGUCUGUCGCGUCUGGUGUGAAAUCCCAUGGCUCAACUGUGGGCUUGCAUCGGGUACGGGCAGACUAGAGUGCUGUAGGGGAGACUGGAAUUCCUGGUGUAGCGGUGGAAUGCGCAGAUAUCAGGAGGAACACCGAUGGCGAAGGCAGGUCUCUGGGCAGUUACUGACGCUGAGG